This 491-nucleotide ribosomal RNA is filed under the name uncultured bacterium. RNAcentral's name for it is "partial 16S ribosomal RNA". It matches the Rfam family "Bacterial small subunit ribosomal RNA", at positions 29 to 507 of the family's 1533-position model. The record is from RNAcentral.
GUGAACGCUGGCGGUAGGCCUCACACCUGCAAGUCGCACGGCAGCACAGUAAGAGCUUGCUCUUACGGGUGGCGAGUGGCGGACGGGUGAGGAAUACAUCGGAAUCUACUUUUUCGUGGGGGAUAACGUAGGGAGACUUACGCUAAUACCGCAUACGACCUACGGGUGAAAGCAGGGGAUCUUCGGACCUUGCGCGAUUGAAUGAGCCGAUGUCGGAUUAGCUAGUUGGCGGGGUAAAGGCCCACCAAGGCGACGAUCCGUAGCUGGUCUGAGAGGAUGAUCAGCCACACUGGAACUGAGACACGGUCCAGACUCCUACGGGAGGCAGCAGUGGGGAAUAUUGGACAAUGGGCGCAAGCCUGAUCCAGCCAUACCGCGUGGGUGAAGAAGGCCUUCGGGUUGUAAAGCCCUUUUGUUGGGAAAGAAAAGCAGCAGGUUAAUACCCCGCUGUUCUGACGGUACCCAAAGAAUAAGCACCGGCUAACUUCGUG